AAGGCUUUAUCUUAAUUAAAGUGUCUGCUUUGCACGCAGAAGAUGUGGGGUAAUGUCCCGCAAGUCUUA
This 69-nucleotide transfer RNA is filed under the name Kali indica. RNAcentral describes it as "tRNA-Ala". It matches the Rfam family "tRNA". From Rfam's summary of the family: Transfer RNA (tRNA) molecules are approximately 80 nucleotides in length. The record is from RNAcentral. RNAcentral also lists the same sequence under 2 other names. Lineage: Eukaryota; Metazoa; Chordata; Actinopteri; Scombriformes; Chiasmodontidae.